RNAcentral lists this ribosomal RNA (398 nucleotides) under uncultured Neocallimastigomycetes. RNAcentral describes it as "eukaryotic LSU rRNA". It matches the Rfam family "Eukaryotic large subunit ribosomal RNA", at positions 127 to 522 of the family's 3401-position model. The record is from RNAcentral. Lineage: Eukaryota; Fungi; Neocallimastigomycota; Neocallimastigomycetes.
GUUCUACCUUGACGAAUUGUAGUUUAAAGAAGUGUUUUCUGUUAGAGGAGUAGCAAAAGUUCCUUGGAAUGGGACAUCAUAGAGGGUGAGAAUCCCGUAUUUGGUUACUUUUUCUAGCUUUGUGAUACACUUUCAAAGAGUCGGAUUGUUUGGGAAUGCAGUCCAAAAUGGGUGGUAAAUUUCAUCUAAAGCUAAAUAUUGGCGAGAGACCGAUAGCGAACAAGUACCGUGAGGGAAAGAUGAAAAGAACUUUGAAAAGAGAGUUAAACAGUACGUGAAAUUGUCAAAAGGGAAGCGUUUGACGCCAGUGUUGUUUUUCCGAAAAUCAACUGAGAACGGCUUGAUUUUGUGUUGUAUUGACCUUAUCAGCUUUCUUCACUCUUUUUCGAGUCUUUCUU